RNAcentral lists this small RNA (574 nucleotides) under Symmetrospora oryzicola. RNAcentral's name for it is "eukaryotic LSU rRNA". It matches the Rfam family "Eukaryotic large subunit ribosomal RNA", at positions 47 to 606 of the family's 3401-position model. The record is from RNAcentral. Lineage: Eukaryota; Fungi; Basidiomycota; Cystobasidiomycetes; Symmetrosporaceae.
UAAGCGGAGGAAAAGAAACUAACAAGGAUUCCCCUAGUAACGGCGAGUGAAGUGGGAAAAGCUCAACUUUAAAAUCUGGCAGCUUCGCUGUCCGAGUUGUAGUCUCGAGAAGUGUUUUCCGCGCUGGAUCGUGUAUGAGUCUGUUGGAAUACAGCGUCAUAGAGGGUGAGAACCCCGUUCAUGACACGACUACCAGUGCUUUGUGAUACACUUUCGAUGAGUCGAGUUGUUUGGGAAUGCAGCUCAAAAUGGGUGGUAAAUUCCAUCUAAAGCUAAAUAUUGGCGAGAGACCGAUAGCAAACAAGUACCGUGAGGGAAAGAUGAAAAGCACUUUGGAAAGAGAGUUAACAGUACGUGAAAUUGUCGAAAGGGAAACGCUUGAAGUCAGACGUGCGCGGUGCGAUUCAGCCUUGGUUCGCCAGGGUGUACUUCGUACCAUUGCAGGCCAGCAUCGGUUUUGUGAGCCGGAUAAAGGUUAGAGGAAGGUAGCGGUCCAGGCCGUGUUAUAGCCUCUAACUGAAUACGGAUUGUGAGACCGAUGGGACGCAGCGCGCCGCAAGGCAAAGGGUCCGCC